GGAGUAACAACGUGGAGUAACAUACCUAUAGGACUGGGAUAACUUCGGGAAACCGGAGCUAAUACCGGAUAAUAUAUUGAACCGCAUGGUUCAAUGGUGAAAGACGGCUUUGCUGUCACUUAUAGAUGGAUCCGCGCCGCAUUAGCUAGUUGGUAAGGUAACGGCUUACCAAGGCAACGAUGCGUAGCCGACCUGAGAGGGUGAUCGGCCACACUGGAACUGAGACACGGUCCAGACUCCUACGGGAGGCAACAGUC
This 257-nucleotide ribosomal RNA is filed under the name uncultured Staphylococcus sp. Its description in RNAcentral is "partial 16S ribosomal RNA". It matches the Rfam family "Bacterial small subunit ribosomal RNA", at positions 107 to 355 of the family's 1533-position model. The record is from RNAcentral. Lineage: Bacteria; Bacillati; Bacillota; Bacilli; Caryophanales; Staphylococcaceae.